This 325-nucleotide long non-coding RNA is filed under the name Gallus gallus (chicken). RNAcentral describes it as "lncRNA (ENSGALG00010016401.1)". The record is from RNAcentral. Lineage: Eukaryota; Metazoa; Chordata; Aves; Galliformes; Phasianidae.
GACACCAUCUCAAACAGGUAACUCCAGUGCCCUCAGUCUUAUUUGCUGGCCAUUGCGAUUCCUUCAGUGACUCUUUUCCUAGAACCCUUGUCAGUAGCCCUGUCCCUAUAGACUCUUUCCAGUGAGUAAACAACUUCAUGAAAACCAGUGCCUGUAACUAGACCCCACGCUUGCCAGCAUCAGAGAAGACAGAAGGAUUGCUUCAUGUGUCUUACAGAUGACCCAAUGCUGUUUACACAUUCCUGCAUGUUGGUUGGUGUUUUCUUUUUGCUGCUGUGUGAUGUCUUUGGCUGACAUUCAGCUUGUGAUGACUCCGGAUCCUGCA